Molecule: long non-coding RNA, 549 nt
Organism: Drosophila montana
Lineage: Eukaryota; Metazoa; Arthropoda; Insecta; Diptera; Drosophilidae
Exons: 2
Source: RefSeq, a predicted model, not a curated record
UGCACAUUACGAGCAUUCACUGUAGUAAUUUGAAGAAAAUCUUUAGCAAGCUAUGCAGAAGAGUUGCUCAAGCGAUUACAAAACUCUUCCAAAUGACACAGGCUGACAAAUUUGGACAUGAAUGAUGUUGUGCAGAGGCGCAGGCUAUUAAACAAAAAUGCGGCAACUUAGUGCCUUGUUGACCCGCAGAGCCCGAUCCUUGGGGACGAACGGGGACAACGACUCGUCACAUUAGGCGGCAGCUCUCAACGGGCUCUGGAAAAAGGUUCGUUUUGGCUGGGAUUUGGAUUUGAGAAUCUGAAUAUUCGGGGUUCGGGUCGCGUUUACCCUUUUUAAGUGCCAAAUUACCUUUGCGCCGGGCAUGGUCACUGUUGCAUCAUUCGCUUGAUUAAUUGCUCAGCCGUUGGCGCUUGGUCACGUGUCAUGUGCCACACCGAGGUCUGCAACUGCCCCACCGUCGCACCGCCGCCCCGCCGGACUCGGCCUGCUGCAUAGAGAUUUUUGCGCCAAAUUAAUGUUGACAUUUAUAAUAAAUUUACAAAUUGAAAA